UACGUAGGGUGCAAGCGUUGUCCGGAAUUAUUGGGCGUAAAGAGCGUGUAGGCGGCCAGGUAGGUCUGGUGUGAAAACUCGAGGCUUAACCUCGAGAUGUCAUCGGAAACCAUUUGGCUAGAGUCCGGAAGAGGAGAGUGGAAUUCCUGGUGUAGCGGUGAAAUGCGCAGAUAUCAGGAAGAACACCAAUGGCGAAAGCAGCUCUCUGGGACGGUACUGACGCUGAGACGCGAAAGCGUGGGGAGCGAACAGG
Molecule: ribosomal RNA, 253 nt
Filed under: uncultured bacterium
Lineage: Bacteria
Description: partial 16S ribosomal RNA
Rfam family: Bacterial small subunit ribosomal RNA
Source: RNAcentral